Molecule: non-coding RNA, 160 nt
Filed under: Synechococcus sp. PCC 7335
Lineage: Bacteria; Bacillati; Cyanobacteriota; Cyanophyceae; Synechococcales; Synechococcaceae
Description: Bacterial large subunit ribosomal RNA
Rfam family: Bacterial large subunit ribosomal RNA
Source: Rfam by way of RNAcentral
GAUAACAGGCUGAUCUCCCCCAAGAGUUCACAUCGACGGGGAGGUUUGGCACCUCGAUGUCGGCUCAUCGCAACCUGGGGCGGUAGUACGUCCCAAGGGUUGGGCUGUUCGCCCAUUAAAGCGGUACGUGAGCUGGGUUCAGAACGUCGUGAGACAGUUC